UAGUGACCUGCGGAGGAUCAUUAGAGUACCUUUAAACACGUGUAUUGGGGAAAACACCAAAAAACAAGUAUAAAAAAAAACAACCAAAAAAAACUCCUAGCAACGGAUCUCUUGGCUCUCGCAUCGAUGAAGAACGCAGCGAAUCGCGAUACGUAUUACGACUUGCAGACGUGAAUCAUUAAUCUUUGAACGCACAUUGCGCCUUGGAGCAUUCUCCAAGGCAUGCCUGGGUGAGCGUCGGCUAUUCUCAGACCCCCCCAGGUCUGGUUUUGUCGCCCAAACUCCACAAUCAAGAUUUUUCUCUUGACCUCAUCCAGGUAGGACUACCCGCUGAACUUAAGCACAUCAAUAAGCGGAGGAAAAGAAACCAACAGGGAUUGCCCCAGUAACGGCGAGUGAAGCGGCAAAAGCCCAAAUUUGAAAUCCCGCCCCCGCGGGAGUUGUAAUUUGAAGGCCAGCGGCAGCAUGUUCGGAAAACAAAGUCCAUUGGAACAUGGCGCCACGGAGGGUGUUGUUUGGGAAUGCAGCUCUAACAGGUGGUAAAUCCCAUCUAAAGCUAAAUACCGGCGAGAGACCGAUAGCGAACAAGUACAGUGAUGGAAAGAUGAAAAGCACUUUGAAAAGAGAGUGAAACAGUACGUGAAAUUGCUGGGAGGGAAGGGCUUGCAAGCAGACACGGGAGUAAAAAACCCGGGCCAGCAUCAGGUGGAGCGGCGGCAUAAGCGCUGCGGGAAUGUGGCAAAGCCAAUUGGUUUUGUGUUUAUAGCCCGCGCCUCUUCCGCCCGCGCCGCCUGAGGCCAGCGAUUCGAUCAAGGAUGCUGGCGUAAUGGUUGCAAGCCGCCCGUCUUGAAACACGGA
Molecule: ribosomal RNA, 858 nt
Filed under: uncultured fungus
Lineage: Eukaryota; Fungi
Description: eukaryotic LSU rRNA
Rfam family: Eukaryotic large subunit ribosomal RNA (bases 304-858)
Source: RNAcentral